RNAcentral lists this ribosomal RNA (407 nucleotides) under uncultured bacterium. RNAcentral describes it as "partial 16S ribosomal RNA". It matches the Rfam family "Bacterial small subunit ribosomal RNA", at positions 28 to 526 of the family's 1533-position model. The record is from RNAcentral.
GACGAACGCUGGCGGCGUGCCUAAUACAUGCAAGUAGGACGCAGUUGCGAACGGGUGAGUAACGAGUAGGUAAAUACCUAUGAGAGGGGGAUAACUAUUGGAAACGAUAGCUAAUAACGCAUACUAGUAGAUGGACCUGCGUUGUAUUAGAUAGUAGGUAGGGUAAUGGCCUUACUAGGCAACGAUACAUAGCCGAGCUGGGGGGGUGAUCGGCCAAACUUGGACUGGUGCACCGGCCCGACUCCCACGGGAAGGAGCAGUAGGGAAUCUUCGGCAAUGGGGGGAACCCUGACCGAGCAACGCCGCGUGAGUGAAGAAGGUUUUCGGAUCGUAAAGCUCUGUUGUUAAGGAAGCGGUACUUAACCAGAAAGGGCCGGCUAACUACGUGCCAGCAGCCGCGGUAAUUC